This 306-nucleotide ribosomal RNA is filed under the name Amoebophrya sp. Its description in RNAcentral is "SSU rRNA". It matches the Rfam family "Eukaryotic small subunit ribosomal RNA", at positions 595 to 906 of the family's 1831-position model. The record is from RNAcentral. Lineage: Eukaryota; Dinophyceae; Syndiniales; Amoebophryaceae.
UAGCGUAUAUUAAAGUUGUUGCGGUUAAAAAGUUCGUAGUUGGAUUUCUGUCGGAGACCUGCGGUCUGCGCUAUGUGCAUGUAUCUGUAGGGCUCUGGCAUCCUUCCGAAAGACGUCGCUAUGCUUCAUUGCACGGUGCGGAGUUCGGAACUUUUACUUUGAGGAAAUUAGAGUGUUCACGGCAGGCCAACGCCAUGAAUAUAUUAGCAUGGAAUAAUAAUAUAGGAUUUCGGUUCUAUUUUGUUGGUUUCUAGGGCUGAAAUAAUGAUUAAUAGGGACAGUUGGGGGCAUUCGUAUUAAGGCGUC